GCCUCCUUUGAGUUUUCAACACCUGUACAAUGUGUAGGAAAGGAUCAAGAACACAUUUAAACUCAAAUGACCUACAUACUGAUGAAGUACGUAACCAGGAAGCCAUUGAGUGUAUUUAAAGGGAAAGAUACACACUACCUGUAAUUACUUGAGACAGAGAAUUUUCUGGAUUUACUAACGUACAAAAAUAUACACAGAUAUUUUUCCCUCUGCAGAUUAUGCAAUGUGACAAGAUAAUGGACCGACUGAUCGCAUUUUCUGUAGAUACAAACCAUACUGUUAGCAAAAUAUAAUUUUAUCGAUGUUAACUGAUAACUCAUGUUCAGUGAUUAUGACACUCCCAUACACAAAUUACCGUUCUUUAGUCAAAUCUGUGUAUGUAGCAUCUAUAUCAUGUACCAUUUUGCCUAGAUAAGCAUUUUCUUAUAAGAGAUACCUUGGACUAUUUUCCCAUACACUUUAAAGGAUGACUACAUCUUACAUCAUUAUUUUAAUCUUAGUAGUUUGCUACUAUUGAAGUAUCUUUCUCUGCAGAAUUUUUCUUCUUGGCAUGAUUUUGAUACGCAUUCACUUACAGCUGUCAAAGCUGUAGUCUGUGUGUUGUUAUACCUGUGGCUUCCUCAUUCUUUGAAGGGUAAUAGGCAAUUGCUGUGCAUGUUGUGUUGAGAUAUGCCAGUGUUCCAUGUGAUGAGUCUGCACAGCAGAGACCAGUGGGUAAGACUGUAAGAGAGAAGAAACAGUAUUUUCCUCAGUGCCUCAUGCAAAUGAAUCAGUGAUCUGGCCUAAGUACCAAAAUCUACAGAUUUUCUCCAAGUCCUGCUACUUGACUCAUUUGCUUUGGACAGUGAAAGCUGGGUGGUAGACUGGUAUCACUUCUAUGAUGCUUGAAGCCAAAUUGUAGAAGAGUAGCCUAGAAUAGCUGGAGUUGAGCUAGCUGGAUUUUGAAAACACAUAUGUAGUAAUGUCUAAAUAUUUGUUCUUGGCUGUAUGAUAACUUUGGUAUCUACUGGUACCUGCUCUCCAUAACAAUUUGCAUGGUCUUGGAAUUUAGGUCUUUCUCCCCUCUAGCUUGGCCUGAUUUUACAUCUGUGUAAUUCUACAUAUUUCAACACAGCUAAACAAAAUAGAGGCUAAAUUUGUUUGUGUAUCAUGCUUGUAUUCAUGACAUUUUCAACUGUAAUGCACUGUAAACCUCAUGAUGAUCUGCCAACAGCAAAAUAAAACUAUGAUAUUGAAUUACAUCUUUAAUAACAUCAUGAAAGACAAAGGGAAUAACUUAAAAUAUCUUUAAAUUAUAAACAGCAUGUAUUUUUAGUGAAGUUUUGAGUGAAUUUUUGGAACAGAACAGCAUUCAAAAAUAGAUUUACCUGCUUUAUAUGCUUCCUGCUGUCACAGUUAAUAAUAUAUGACAAUAAUUAGUUUAGCCUAGGAAUAGAAAAACAAGGGUAUGGGAGACAGUUGGAAGAAAGAUGUUGAAGCUUUCUGACAGAAAGUUCUUCAGUAUGGUGUGGUCUUCUGUUUUGUCACUUAACUAGUGAAUUACCAGCUUCAUUCAUAGUUAUGCAAUAGUACUUUGAGUCUGAUUUUUUCCCAUAGCAGAAAAUCAGCUUUAAUUUCUUAAAACUGGAUCCUCUAUGCAGCAAUAAACAUGGGAAAGAGGAGUAAAGCUCACGAUACAAGUACUUCAGUUAGGUGGAAUUAUACUGUCUUUCUGCAUAGUAAGAAUGUGUCAAAACUUGUGAUGGAAUUUCCUAAUAAGCAGGUGUGCAUCAUAAAAUAAUGGCACAAGAUUUACAUCUGGGAUUUAAAGAGUCAGAAAGAUGGCUCUAUCUGGGGACAGUGUGGUCUUCUUAAAGAUUGAUUGACAUAUGUCCACAGCUCAGCAAGUAUGCAGGGCUAUACUGGCACUGGGCUUGUAGGGGCUACUGCAACUUUUGAAUGGACUUAGUUAAAAUCAAUUUUCUGCACAGUGAAAUGGGGGAGCAAGUUUUGAGAGAGCUUGGAAAAAGACUUUCCAGUGGAUUUGAGAAGUAGAUUUUUAUGUAGCUGGAAAAAAAAAAAAAUAGCUUUCAUUGUACUGAAAAGUAGAGCCAUCAAAUCCACACUGCAAAAUACAAAAUAUUUUUUGUGAUACUCAGGCAGCUGUCAAAUUAUACGUGAAUUCAGCAAGAAAUUGAAAUAAUGCUUUUGUGAAAACUGUGCCACAAGACUGGUUUUGGAUUAAAAAAAAAUCCAACUGGAUAAAGCAAACUCACUCUUGCUAUGUUACUUCUUCUGUAAUUAAUUCUGCAUUAGUGGCACUCAGAACCUCAAUAAAUCAAAAAGGUGAGAAUUUUGCCCCAUUCCACUCUGCUUUCUAGCUUCCUUCAGAUCAGAUUUCUGGAAUAAAAAAGGCUUCUAAUAUUUUUCCUUCACCUGCAAAAUUCACAACAUGUCACUCAGAUGAACAUCUGUUUUGUUUUCUCUCUGGAGAUAACACAAAGAUACAUGUAAUCCUCAUCAGCAAUUCUUUCAGCUUCUCUGAUGCUAGCUCUGACUAUUUUCUACAGCUUGUUUCAGCAGGGUGUGCAGAAAGAGCUCCGUCAGGACCCACUGUACUUUUAGCCAUUACCUGUUGCUUCUGCUCAAUAGACAGAAAAUGAGAAAGUUUCUUAUCUCGGUGUGAUUCACAUAAACUUUUGAGAGGACAAGGGGACAUACCACAUAAUAUUAUUCAUAAGUUUUUCUUCCCUCUCCAACAACAUUAUCUAUGGUACUUACUCUUAUUUAUUCAUCUCUUUUAUAUAACCUGGUCUGAUUAUCUCCUCAGCUUGAGGAUGUGGGAACAGCAAGCCAAAGAAGCUUUCCUGCGCUACUGAAAAUUGAGUGUAUAGUUGAAAGCUUUCUGUGAAACAUGGCAAUAGCCUUUUCUCAUUUCUCAUUUUUCAUUAUUUUGGCCUAAGAACAUCUAUCUUUAUUAAAUGCAUCAUGCUUUACUAUCUGUGAGUGCAGAAGACAUAAAUCUUACACAUACUGCUGUUUGUAUAUUCUGUAAUGUAAAUAGGUCUAGAACUGCAUUUGCAGUGUUACUGCAAGAUGCAUCAAUUCUACCAUCUAGUAAUUAUUGUAAUAACUAAUUAAAAGAAGAUACAUGAUCAAAUUAGCUGUUAUAUUAGCAGUGUCUUACUAGAGGAGUGAGGGAGGAAAUAAGGAUCCUUUAUGAGAGAAUGAAGGUGACAGAAUAAGGUUUUUUAUAUUAUAGUGUAUUGAUUACUGGUAUUAUUUUUCUGUGUAAGAAGUUUCUGCAGUGUCCACAUGAAUGUUAUUUAUUCAUCAUUGAGAGAAAUAUUCUUCUCAGCUGCCUAAAACGUAGGCCAUGCAACCUUGAUACUGGCAAUGAGAUGAAUGUGAGUCUAAAUAGAUGGUGCUCAACAUCCAGAGACCCUUACUUUUGUAAACUGUGUUUGGAAGAGAUGGAUAACUGCCAAAGGACAUGCCUGACCAUGUAUAUUGAUGGGAUUAUGUAGAUAUGUCUCUGCUUGUUGCUGAGAGGUUAACAAGGCUCUCAUGAGACUACAGUAUAAAGAAAACCAUUGAUGCACCAGCACAAAAAAUCAAAGAAUAGUCCAAUAACAAUCACAACAAGGAGCAGCAGCUACCAUUAGUAGAGUAACCAAAGGGAGCAAUUGUAAGCUUUGUUUCUGAACACAGAAACUGAAGAAAGACUGAAAAUAAUAGUUUUCAGGGAAUAUAGGCAUAUUGAUGUGAGUAGGAAUUAUUUCCUGCUAGGAGUUGUUACAAAUUACUUUUCCCCAUUCUGUAAGGAUGAACUCUUUUGCUGUAUUUUAUUAUUCAGCACUGUGAUAUCGCUCUUCCCUAGUUUCCUCAGAAAAGGCUUAGAAGAACAAACCCUUUCUGUACUAGCUGUGCAUACAAUCAGGUGAAGAAGCUGUCAGCUCUUGGUAUGAUUUCUAUGUGGGCAGUUUUUGAGAGAUGUUGCUAAAUACAGUUUUAUUCAUGUUUUAAUCUCCAGUUUCGGGGGACAGGUGGGGAGGGAGUGGAAGAUAAGCAGCUAUUCAGGCCAUAUACAUCAGAAAUGCUGUAGACUUGAUGACAGCAACUACAAGAUUUCAUAUGCUCUCUAAGCCUACUUUAUCUUACCUGCCAAAUGCCAUGAUACAGCCAAGUAAACACAUUAAAAGCAUACUAUCAAUUGAUCAGUUUUUCAAAAUUCUUGGUCAUCUGGGUAUUUAAUGGAGUUUAUAGUUUUUGAUGUAACUCAAAACUUUGUAACUUUUGAUGUGUAUUUGUUACCCUCUGAAAAGUUCCAGUAGUUCAAAGAAUAUAAAUGCCAAAAGAGAUGAGGGAGAAUUGAUUUUUAAUUUUAUCUGAAUAUUUCCAGCAUAUAAUACACUUAUUCAAAAAACUGGGAUCAAAUGUAACAGCAUGAUGUUCUGUUUCUUUAUUUUGUAGGCUAGGCAGAUUGGCUUACCGUGCUCAUUUUGUCAGAAUUUAUAUAUUGGUUUAUGGGGAAAAAUAUAGGGACUGAAGGAAUAGAUUCAACAUGUUCUCAAACAAGGUUUUCUGGUGCAGGUAGCACUGUCCAGGAAUUCCAGAUACUGAUCCCUUUUGUCCAAUGGAAUUGUAAGAUAUUAAGCUUGUUGUUUACUUACUAAACAAUAAUAAAAACUUUCCAUGUAAUAUAGAAUUAAAGACAAACUCAAGGCCUUCAUGAGUCCAUAUAGCUCCCAGGUGACAAGUGAAGCAGAAGAUUGAAGUAAAACAAAUAAAUAAAAGGAUUAAAACAAAGCCCGUACUUGUUUGUAAGAGACAAAAUUUCACCAAAAAAAGUUCUUAAAUAUUUUACAUUUUGCUAUAUGUACAUCUUUCAAAUGUAUGCAUUGACGAAGUGUAACUAGUACAAAUAUAGAAAAAUUAUAUGUAAUAACUUAAAUAUAAUUGGAUUUCCCAAAACUUUUACUAAAACCAGGAAAAAUGCCUGCCAUAUUACUUUUAGGAAUUGAGAGAUUGGUAGAGCAAGUAUCAACAGCAAAGGGGAGUGUUUAGCAGCCAAGAAGGCCAGAAUUUUAUCAAAAGCAAAGUCAUGGCAAUAUCUGGACAAACCCAAAUAUCAGAAGGAGUUUUAAGUGUCCAUGAAAUUGUUAGUGGGAAAAUGCUUAAUCACCAAAGACUUUAAAAUGAAAAAACUAAGAGAAAUUAAUCCUUGUGGAACCAUACUGCUUGAAAUGCUGUUAAUCCUAUGUGAAAUAAAUAAAUAAAAAAGUAUCCAAACAAUCACUUCUCUAGUUUUACGAUGGUACUUGAGAGAUGCUUUCUCUGAAGGUUAGCAUACUGUGGCUGUGUAUUAAAAGCACCUUUCACUGCUCUUCACAGGGAAGCUAUAUAAAAUGGGCAAGUAACAUUUUAUCAAAUAUUUACAAUGCAGUGCACAUGAAAGCAGGGCACUAAAAGACUAUCUGACAAUAAUCAAGAAGGUGCAGGGAAAGCAUGUGUGAAUACUGAAAUUUGAAGGACCUAAACUGUCCUUUCCAGAAAUCGUGUGUUCUUGCACUUUUCAUCCUGAGGAAACCCCCCUUUGAAGCCAGAGCAGUACUUUGGGCUCCAGGCUGAGGCCUGCACUAAAUACUGCUUGGGAUGCUCUUGUUGGCACAGACACCAUGACUGAUCAAAGACAAUUGUUUAAAUGACCAUCAGCAUUUAUAUAUCUCUUUCUUAAUCUGUGCACAAAAAUGAUCCCCAGCAAGAACAUCAGAACAUGGAAACUUGUUCUAGAUUUCCCCCUAGGGAUGUGAACUACUCUGAACUCCAGGACACUCUACUGAGAGUGAAAAAUUUCCACAAAUUUCUGUGGUUUUAGGCCACUAAUAUGUGGUGGAGGGUAAGGUUAUUCUACGUGGUGUCACAAUGCAGAUAACAAGAUACUUUGUCAUAAAUGAGACAUGCUUUUUCUCUGCUGUAUUUGCUCUCUCCCUAAUGCAUUUUCUACUUUGUGUUGCUGUCAAAAAUAUUAUAAUGUAGUGUUGUAGGAGACUAGGUUAUUGACUCAUCUGGGAUAUGGAAAUCCUGUUAAUUUUAGAAAGUGUGUUUAAUAAAAUUGCAUCAUUGGCAGAUACCUUUUCAUAAUAUUAUACUGCAUUUAUUAGGCAGAGAAAAUCUCUUUGCACUAGGUUCAAAGCCAGAAAUUGAUUUCCAAAGGAGCCGGAUGCCUAGGUUGCUUAGAUAUUUUGAAAAUCCCAGUAGGCCUCUAUUUGUAGUUUUUGGCACCUAAAUACCCUUGAAAAUCUGGCUCAAGAGUUAUUACAAUAACACAAAGGAAUAAUAACUUAUGUUUUUCAUGCCAGAAGGAUUUUACUGGCACUAAGCAUCUUGAUGUUACACUAGGGGAAAUUAUAUAUACAUGUUUGAGAGCACUGAAUUAAUUAUAUCCUAAAAUAAGACGUUGUUUAACAUAUGUAAAGAAUCUGUUCUCAAAUACAUUAUUCCUUGUAGGGCUUGAGAUAAAGUGCUUUACCAGCCUAGGAAGACGGUAAACAGGGAGAUGGCCAGUAUUCACUGGUUCACUGGUAGUCUGGAAACCAGACAUGGAGCAACUGAAGCAUAUUGCUCAGCCUUAAUGCCAGACUCAUCACUAUUAAUUUUUUUUUCUCCCUUGCUGCUAUUCUUUUGCUUAAGCUUCUUAAAGUCUGCUUGUCCAUUUUCCAGUUCCUAUCAAAAUACCUCAUAUAAUUUCAAAAUAACCUUGAAAUGAUUUAUUUUGACAAUUUUGAUGUUACGAAUCAGAAAGAGGAAUAGAUAUUUUGGCUUCUGGGUUAUCCUUAAGCGAGGGAAGAAAUAAAUGGAGUCUAGUCAAUGUACUGAACUAUGUAUGUAUUUUCUUCAUGGCCUCAGGAAGACCCUAGAGCUAAAAGCUCUAUAUUAAUUUUUGAUGGUUGGUUUCUAUUCUGAUGAAAACUGUUUCUUUAUAUCUGUGGCAGGUAAUACAGUUGAAGAAGCAAGAGCUAUAGGCCUGUGAAAACUUCAGUAAUACUUUUAUAAUUUUAUUUUAAACUCAUGGCCAUAAUUGCAGAAAAUAGCUUUUCACUCAUUUUUUCUGUAACUCAGGUUGUAUAUCCAUCUGUGAUAGAAAAUGACUGAAAGUAAAAUUGAUAGAUCUGAUUCAGGCAGGACUUUUCUACCUUGCUUCCUCUCCCGAACAUGAGCGAUGAGAAUUGCAAGAUAUAAUGUUCUUGACACAUUCUGAAGGACUGGUAAAAUCCAAAUUCUCUGCUACACUAAAAUUAAAAAUCCAACUUGACAUGGAAAUGGGGAUAUUCACAACUGAAGUAGAUUUGUGCUGAAGUAGAUGCACGUGCUGUAAGCCUGGUUCUUUGCCCUCACUUUGCUCUGAUGGAAAUUCAGGGUGAUACCUGACUGGAUCCAACACAAUGUCCGCAACUAAUUCUAGUGUAGUUCUCUGAUGACCAAUGCCCCAUCCUCUAGGAGAAUAUGGUGCAUAGCCUCCAUAAUCUCUUCUGUAGUGGUUUUGGAGAUCAAUGGUUGCUUAAAAGCAGGAAGAUAGUUACCUUUUCUCUACUGUACCUGCCACAGAGAGCAGUACAUUCCAGGGCAAAUAGAAAGCAAUAUUGGCAAUGCACACCAGGAGCGUAUUUAAACACAUCUCUAACGCUUUGUUUUUCAUUGCCAUGGUAUCAAAACAGCAAAGGAUUUAUAUUAUUGUAAAUCUAAUUUCUAAAGCUUGUUUUUUGUUUGCUCUCUUUAAAAAAACCCAUCAAACUCUACUUUUAAAAUCAAAUUAAUUAGAUAGAAGCAGCAAGUGUACAGGCUGUUCUACAACAUAUUUACAUACUGUUAUUUAGUUGUGUUCUAAGACGUUGUCGAGGGUUGUGAUUGCAGGAUGGCAAUAAAACCCCAGCAGAUGUAUUGUUAAUCUCCUCUCCCCCCGCUUCCCCUCUUGCCCCUCCCUCUGCCCCCUUCCCACUCAGGACAGGUGAUCGGGAGGGAAAGAAGGACAGAGAGAAGAGAGUUGGAAAAAUUAAAAAUGUUUUACUAAUGCUACUAAUAAGAAUAGAGAAAAUAAUACAAAAUAUACAAAACCAAUCUUGAAAGUCUCAGCAACUGCAGAGCCAGCACCAAAGUCCUGGAUUGGACUCUGCAGCCCAGCUCGGAGCUGGAUUCAGUCUCUUACUAGGCCUCAGUUCACAGGGACGACUAGCAAGGUCCUCUCCUAAUGUCAGCCAUAAGGAAAAGGAAAGAAGGAGGACGAGAUCCUCGUGAUCUCCCACUUUUAUAUGAAGUAUUUACGUGAAUGGAAUGUUAUACACAGUUGGUCAGUUUCUUGGUCACCUGUUUCUCGUUGCCCCUCUCGCUAGAGGUGCAUCCAUGCUUAUCAAUAACUUUGCAUUCCAUUGCUAUGUUUACCAAAACAUGUAUCUGGUUCUCCAGGAAAAUGCAGCUAAUAUGAAGGCUUUAGCUGACAGGCAACUUCGCUAAAAGAGAAACUUGGUUUUUAACAAAACCAGGACAGACAUAGUUCCUAGUAAUAAUAAUAAGAGGGUUGUUUUUUGUUUGUUUUAAUAAAUUGGAAAUUAAUAUACCCUGCAAUUUGGAAAAGAUGGAACUGGGUCAUUGAACCAGCUGAAGUCAUGGUUGAUAUUUUGAGAUAAUUUUGCAUUGAUCAAUAGUAUUUGGAUAAAGUCUUUAUGGGCAAUGGUUGUUUUAAAGAAUGAAAGCAUAUUUGCACCUGUCUGGAGUAGUUCUGUGCAUUUAGUCCCAGCUGUUAGAAAGCAAGUGAUGUUUCUGCUUGUGUAGCACCUGUUUUUGAUUUCAGAGGGGAAACAGAAGAAAAUUACUUCAACGGGUGGUGACAUUAAAUACAGCUGCUGCCUGGCAGAAAGCAUGUUAUCUCCCUUUUACCCAAGUGAAAACACUUCUGCCUUGCAUCAUGGAUAGGAUCAGAGCUCCAGCUGUGUUCUCCCAGAGGAAGAGAGAGAAAGGGAUGCGUUCCCCAAAGCUUUCCUGCAGUUAUGAAAUAAAGUUCAAUAAGUUUGUCAUAUUUAUUAUGCAGAGGAAGAUGGGAAUGACCAGAAGGAUGUUUUUGAUGGAUCUGGCAAGAAGAAAAGGUUUCAGAGUAGAAAGUGAGCUAAGUGACUCCGUCACUCAUAUUGUGGCUGAGAACAACUCUUACUUGGAGGUGCUGGACUGGCUGAGAGGACAGGCUGUGGGUGACAGCUCCAGGUUUGAACUGCUGGAUAUCUCCUGGUUCACAGCCUGCAUGGAAGCGGGAAGACCAGUUGAUACAGAAAUGAAGUAUCGUCUUAUGGAACAAGAUCAGUCAUCUCCUUUGAAUACACCUGAAUCAGAGGUGCCAUCUUUUAUUGCAAGCAAGGUAUCUCAGUAUUCGUGUCAAAGGAAGACAACUUUAAAUAACUACAACAAGAAAUUCACGGAUGCCUUUGAGAUAAUGGCUGAAAAUUAUGAGUUCAAAGAAAAUGAAAUAUUUUCCCUGGAAUUUCAAAGGGCAGCUUCUGUGCUGAAAUUUCUUCCAUUUCCAGUAACCAGAAUGAAAGAUAUACAAGGGUUGCCCUGCAUGGGAGACCGAGUCAGAGAUGUCAUUGAGGAAAUUCUUGAAGAAGGAGAGAGUUCUAGAGCUAAAGAAGUGUUAAAUGAUGAACGAUACAAAUCAUUUAAGCAAUUUACUUCAGUCUUUGGAGUGGGAGUGAAGACAUCUGAAAAAUGGUACAGAAUGGGUUUACGAACCCUGGAAGAGGUAAAAGCUGACAAGACCGUGAAGCUGUCAAAAAUGCAGAAGGCAGGGUUUCUUUACUAUGAGGACCUUGUUAGCUGUGUAUCUAAGGCAGAAGCAGAUGCAGUAAACAUGGUUGUCAAGAAUACGGUAUAUACUUUUCUACCAGAUGCUUUGGUUACCAUAACUGGUGGUUUUAGGAGGGGUAAGAACAUUGGGCAUGAUAUAGAUUUUUUGAUCACCAGUCCAGGAUCAAGAGAAGAUUAUGAACUUCUGCAUAAAAUUGUGGACUUAUGGAAAAAGCAGGGUCUACUCCUAUAUUGCGAUAUCGUUGAAUCAACAUUUACAAAAGAACAGCUACCGAGCAGACAAGUUGAUGCCAUGGAUAAUUUUCAGAAGUGUUUUGCAAUUUUAAAAUUAUGUCAGCCAAGAGCAGACAACAGCAGUGACAACACAUCAAAAAACCUUGAUAUGGCAGAAGACAAACACUGGAAAGCAAUCCGUGUUGAUCUGGUCAUAACACCCUUUGAGCAAUAUGCAUAUGCUCUGUUGGGUUGGACAGGCUCCAGGCAAUUUGGACGUGAUUUGCGGAGGUAUGCUACUCAUGAAAGGAAGAUGAUAUUGGAUAACCAUGCCUUAUAUGACAGGACAAAGGGGUUCAGUUCUUCAUCAUGCCUUGGCAAAACUGUGGCUCAACAGGACUGAGAUAUGGAUCAGGCACUUGAAAGAAUGGGAAUGACGUAGAAUAACAAUAAGCCAGUGGCUACCAACUGAUUGAGAGAACCUUUCUCAAAGCUGCAAGUGAGGAAGAAAUCUUUGCACAUCUUGGCUUGGAUUACAUCGAACCGUGGGAAAGGAAUGCUUAACACCAUUUUGCAGUGUACAUUCAUCAGUUGACACCAAUGGUCUUUCACCUAUCUUGUAGUCUGAUUUUGAUGUACACAAAAUAUAUGUCUCUAUGACAAGUAAAAAAAUUUAAAACUGUAUUAGUUAGAAGUCAUUAUACAUGUUGAUAUUCCUAGAAGAGAAGAGUUUAAGUUCUUCUGAAUCCUUUCCAGUCUUUUCCAUUUUAGUCUUUUAAGUUUCUACGUGUGAGUGUCAAGAUAGACCUUGUUUUUGGAAGAAAACUUGAAACUGGUGAGAUCUUUGCUUGUGAUAAGAAUUUAACAUCUCCGUGAUUAAUCCUUGGAUGUUAAAAUCCUCUCCGCUAUGACAAUACCUAAAUAAUACAGAAUAUUUGAGCUCAGUCCAAAAAAUACUGAAAUGCAUGCUUAUCUUUAACUGAAUUUCUUAAAUAUUUUGCUGAAUUCAUGUAUGAAAAUCACUGCUGAGUAUAAAGCUUAACAACCUAGGCAGUAAUUAGCCUGUCAGGCUCAGCAAGUUGAGACUUCAGCUGUAAUAGUUUUCCAGGUGGGGAAUUACUCUACAAAAACCAUAAACAAGUUGAGAAUUUAGUGAGAGUUCAAAACAUUUCACACAAAGAGAUUUUGGAAAGUAAAAGUGGAAAAUCUCAGUAGCAAUCUUCAAUUGUGAGGAAAAAUACUAUAAAUUUGGAGUACUGAUUUUGACUAAAGAAGAUUCAAGUGGUGACGUGAUGGUCCUCUAUAAGGACUUUGAAUUAUAACCUGCAUGAAAACAACAGCUUAAACUGUCAAGCUCAUGACUGCUCUGAAGUGAGAGCUUUUAAUUGUCCACACUCAAUUUCAAUAGCUGGAAAUUUAUUUAUUAGUAGAUUUAUAUGCAUUGGAAUGGAAGCUUACCUGAACUGUUUGGCUAUUGGAUGCUCUAGAAUGGUAUUCCUUCUUUUUUUGUCAGAAAUUAAUCUGAGAUGCGAGAGACUUUCUGAUAAAAGUACUCCUAUGUGAUAUUUUGGGUUCAGAAAAUUUCCAGGUAGUUCUUGUGACUGUAGUGAUAAUGAAGAAUUUGUAAUAAAUUUACCCUCUAUUGUACAAGGGCAUUUAGUACAUUAGUACAUGAAGUUACUUAAUGACCAUUCAUUUGUCAUUUGUAGAAUAAAGGUGAUUAAGAACACCAA
RNA transcript from Columba livia (rock pigeon), 11777 nucleotides. It is a transcript of the gene named DNA nucleotidylexotransferase, with no coding region annotated. NCBI's taxonomy places the organism in Eukaryota, Metazoa, Chordata, Aves, Columbiformes, Columbidae. The transcript has 12 exons. The record is from RefSeq and is a predicted model, not a curated record.